GGCUCAGGACGAACGCUGGCGGCGCGCUUAACACAUGCAAGUCGAGCGAGAACCAGGGCUUCGGCCCCGGGGACAGCGGCGAACGGGUGAGUAACACGUGGGUAAUCUGCCCUCGGUACUGGGAUAGCCCGGGGAAACCCGGAUUAAUACCGGAUGGCCCUUCGAGUUUUCGAAUUCGAAGGAAAAGGUAGCUUCGGCCUCCGACCGAGGAUGAGCCCGCGGCGGAUUAGCUUGUUGGUGGGGUAACGGCCUACCAAGGCGACGAUCCGUAGCUGGUCUGAGAGGACGAUCAGCCACACUGGGACUGAGACACGGCCCAGACUCCUACGGGAGGCAGCAGUGGGGAAUCUUGCCCAAUGGGCGAAAGCCUGAGGCAGCGACGCCGCGUGCGGGAAGAAGGCCUUCGGGUUGUAAACCGCUUUCAGGAGGGACGAAGCCACUCGGGUUAAUAGCCCAGAGGGUGACGGUACCUCCAGAAGAAGCCCCGGCUAACUACGUGCCAGCAGCCGCGGUAAUACGUAGGGGGCAAGCGUUGUCCGGAUUUAUUGGGCGUAAAGAGCGUGUAGGCGGCUAGGUAGGUCCGUUGUGAAAACUCGAGGCUCAACCUCGAGACGUCGAUGGAAACCAUCUAGCUAGAGUCCGGAAGAGGAGAGUGGAAUUCCUGGUGUAGCGGUGAAAUGCGCAGAUAUCAGGAAGAACACCCGUGGCGAAGGCGGCUCUCUGGGACGUGACUGACGCUGAGACGCGAAAGCGUGGGGAGCGAACAGGAUUAGAUACCCUGGUAGUCCACGCCGUAAACGAUGGGUGCUAGGUGUGGGCGGUGUCGACUCCGUCCGUGCCGAAGCUAACGCAUUAAGCACCCCGCCUGGGGGAGUA
RNAcentral lists this ribosomal RNA (876 nucleotides) under uncultured bacterium. Its description in RNAcentral is "bacterial SSU rRNA". It matches the Rfam family "Bacterial small subunit ribosomal RNA", at positions 21 to 882 of the family's 1533-position model. The record is from RNAcentral.